UUGUGGAGGAGGACGCCGAAGGUGGGGCUAAUGACUGGGGUGAAGUCGUAACAAGGUAGCCGUACCGGAAGGUGCGGCUGGAUCACCUCCUAACAGGGAGACAACAAAAUGUUUAAUAUUAUUAUUUUGUCACCUUAGGUCGAUCGGUAUCUCACGUUCUUAAUUUAUUAAGAAUUUCAUUUCCUAAGUUUUUCUAGGUCACACGCAUUAUUUUUCCUGGGCCAUUAGCUCAGGUGGUUAGAGCGCACCCCUGAUAAGGGUGAGGUCCCUGGUUCAAGUCCAGGAUGGCCCAUAUCUCUAUGUUGGGGGUAUAGCUCAGUUGGUAGAGCGCCUGCUUUGCAAGCAGGAUGUCAGCGGUUCGAGUCCGCUUACCUCCACUGAUUACCACCUCUUCCAUAAUUUGAAGAAAGGAAAUUUUUUGAGUUGUGAUCAAAUUCUGAACGAAUCUAGCUUCCUAAUGAAUCUAUUAAGAUGCUGGACUCAUUGAAUUAAUUUUCAUUGUUUUCAGAGAACCUUGACAACUGCAUAGAUUAUUUUUAAAGACAAUAAGCAUCUUUAAUGAUGCAGAUUUAUUAUUUGUGCGAAUGCAUUAAUAACAAUUCUAUUAAGCUGAUGCUUCAAUUUAAGAAGUUAUUGGUCAAGCUACAA
RNAcentral lists this unclassified non-coding RNA (648 nucleotides) under uncultured Prochlorococcus sp. RNAcentral describes it as "partial 16S-23S ribosomal RNA intergenic spacer; may also contain 16S ribosomal RNA and 23S ribosomal RNA". The stretch from base 305 to 377 matches the Rfam family "tRNA". Lineage: Bacteria; Bacillati; Cyanobacteriota; Cyanophyceae; Synechococcales; Prochlorococcaceae. The record is from RNAcentral.